This 492-nucleotide ribosomal RNA is filed under the name uncultured bacterium. RNAcentral describes it as "partial 16S ribosomal RNA". It matches the Rfam family "Bacterial small subunit ribosomal RNA", at positions 29 to 507 of the family's 1533-position model. The record is from RNAcentral.
AGUGAACGCUGGCGGUAGGCCUAACACGUGCAAGUCGAACGGCAGCACAGUAAGAGCUUGCUCUUACGGGUGGCGAGUGGCGGACGGGUGAGGAAUACAUCGGAAUCUACUUUUUCGUGGGGGAUAACGUAGGGAAACUUACGCUAAUACCGCAUACGACCUACGGGUGAAAGCAGGGGAUCUUCGGACCUUGCGCGAUUGAAUGAGCCGAUGUCGGAUUAGCUAGUUGGCGGGGUAAAGGCCCACCAAGGCGACGAUCCGUAGCUGGUCUGAGAGGAUGAUCAGCCACACUGGAACUGAGACACGGUCCAGGCUCCUACGGGAGGCAGCAGUGGGGAAUAUUGGACAAUGGGCGCAAGCCUGAUCCAGCCAUACCGCGUGGGUGAAGAAGGCCUUCGGGUUGUAAAGCCCUUUUGUUGGGAAAGAAAAGCAGCAGGUUAAUACCCCGCUGUUCUGACGGUACCCAAAGAAUAAGCACCGGCUAACUUCGUG